Molecule: ribosomal RNA, 1814 nt
Filed under: Paragordionus dispar
Lineage: Eukaryota; Metazoa; Nematomorpha; Gordioida; Chordodea; Parachordodidae
Description: SSU rRNA
Rfam family: Eukaryotic small subunit ribosomal RNA
Source: RNAcentral
UUGAUCCUGCCAGUAGUCAUAUGCUUGUCUCAAAGAUUAAGCCAUGCAUGUCUAAGUAUAAACUUACUAAAAGUGAAACCGCGAAUGGCUCAUUAAAUCAGUUAUGGUUUAUUAGAUCGUCCCAAUCACAUGGAUAACUGUGGUAAUUCUAGAGCUAAUACAUGCUGAAACGUCGAACCGCGAGGUUUUGACUGCUUUUAUUAGAACAAAAACUAACAGUUUUUGUGGUGACUCUGGAUAACUUUGUGCCGAUCGCAUGGUCUCGUACCGGCGACGUAUCUUUCAAAUGUCUGCCUUAUCAACUGUCGAUGGUAGGUUAUAUGCCUACCAUGGUUGUAACGGGUAACGGAGAAUCAGGGUUCGAUUCCGGAGAGGGAGCCUGAGAAACGGCUACCACAUCCAAGGAAGGCAGCAGGCGCGCAAAUUACCCACUCCCGGCUCGGGGAGGUAGUGACGAUAAAUAACAACGCAGGUCUCAAACGAGACCCUGUAAUUGGAAUGAGAUCACUUUAAAUCCUUUAACGAGGAUCUAUUGGAGGGCAAGUCUGGUGCCAGCAGCCGCGGUAAUUCCAGCUCCAAAAGCGUAUAUUAAAGUUGUUGCAGUUAAAAAGCUCGUAGUUGGAUCUCGGGUAACGGGAGGAGGCCCGCUUAACCGCGAUCGCUUCUUCGUCCGACCUAUCAUUCGUCCUGGGCUAGGUGCUCUUCACCGGGUGUCUAGUUUAGAACGGAACGUUUACUUUGAAAAAAUUAGAGUGCUCAAAGCAGGCUCGAAGCCUCGAAUAUCGGUGCAUGGAAUAAUGGAAUAGGACCUCGGUUCUAUUUUGUUGGUUUUCGGAAUCCGAGGUAAUGAUUAAGAGGAACGGACGGGGGCAUCCGUACUGUGGCGCUAGACGUGAAAUUGGUGGACCGCCGCAAGAACAACAAUUGGGAAAGCAUUUUCCAAGAAUGUUUUCAUUAAUCAAGAACGAAAGUCAGAGGUUCGAAGGCGAUCAGAUACCGCCGUAGUUCUGACCAUAAACGAUGCCAACCGGCGAUCCGUCGCGGUAAUUUAUUUUUGACCCGGCGGGCAGCCUUCGGGAAACCAAAGUCUUUGGGUUCCGGGGGAAGUAUGGUUGCAAAGCUGAAACUUAAAGGAAUUGACGGAAGGUCACCACCAGGAGUGGAGCCUGCGGCUUAAUUUGACUCAACACGGGAAAACUCACCCGGCCAGGACACUGUAAGGAUUGACAGAUUGAUAGCUCUUUCUCGAUUCAGUGGGUGGUGGUGCAUGGCCGUUCUUAGUUGGUGGAGUGAUUUGUCUGGUUAAUUCCGAGAACGAACGAGACUCUAACCUACUUACUAGAACGUCGACGAAUUUUUCGUCGGCGAAGCUUCUUAGAGGGACAAGCGGCGAUAUUUUCAGCCGCACGAGAUUGAGCAAUAACAGGUCUGUGAUGCCCUUAGAUGUCCGGGGCUGCACGCGCGCUACACUGAAGGAAUCAGCGUGAAAACUUAGCCUGGUCCGAAAGGAUUUUUCUGGGUACUCCGUUGAAACUCCUUCGUGAUGGGGAUAGGGAAUUGUAAUUAUUUUCCUUGAACGAGGAAUUCCCAGUAUGGACCUGUCAUUAGCAAGUCUAGAAUGCGUCCCUGACCUUUGUACACACCGCCCGUCGCUACUACCGAUUGAAUGAUUUAGUGAGGUCUCUGGACGGGUCUUGGUACGGCGUCUUCAUCGGCGCCGAGCCCUGUGCCUGAAAAUUGAUCUAGCUCAGUCAUUUCGAGGAAGUAAAAGUCGUAACAAGGUUUCCGUAUGUGAACCUGCAGAAGGAUCAAGC